UAGAAGCAACAGAGUCUUGAGCACCCAGC
RNAcentral lists this non-coding RNA (29 nucleotides) under Mus musculus (house mouse). The record is from RNAcentral. Lineage: Eukaryota; Metazoa; Chordata; Mammalia; Rodentia; Muridae.